ACCAAUUCCAUGGGAUAAUUUGUUCCUUUUGGUAUAAUGGCUCGGGCGCUAGAUGAAUUCUUGAUGUGGUUAUCCUGAUCGUUGGCUCAUGUUUGUGCCAUCUGAUCCUGGAAACGCCACUUAUAUUU
Small nucleolar RNA from Dendrobium catenatum, 128 nucleotides. Lineage: Eukaryota; Viridiplantae; Streptophyta; Magnoliopsida; Asparagales; Orchidaceae. The record is from RefSeq and is a predicted model, not a curated record.